Molecule: ribosomal RNA, 450 nt
Filed under: uncultured bacterium
Lineage: Bacteria
Description: partial 16S ribosomal RNA
Rfam family: Bacterial small subunit ribosomal RNA
Source: RNAcentral
CCUACGGGCGGCUGCAGUGGGGAAUAUUGGACAAUGGGCGCAAGCCUGAUCCAGCAAUGCCGCGUGUGUGAAGAAGGCCUGCGGGUUGUAAAGCACUUUAAGCAGGAAAGAAGGGGUGAAAGUUAAUACCUUUCAUCAUUGACGUUACCUGCAGAAUAAGCACCGGCUAACUCCGUGCCAGCAGCCGCGGUAAUACGGAGGGUGCGAGCGUUACUCGGAAUGCGCGGGCGUGGAGCGAGCGUAGGGGCGUGAAAGCCCUGGGCUUAACCUGGGAACUGCGGUGGAUACGGUCGGGCUAGAGUGUGGUAGAGGGGAGUGGAAUUUCCGGUGUAGCAGUGAAAUGCGUAGAGAUCGGAAGGAACACCAGUGGCGAAGGCGGCUCACUGGACUAACACUGACGCUGAGGUGCGAAAGCGUGGGGAGCAAACAGGAUUAGAUACCCGAGUAGUC